This 72-nucleotide transfer RNA is filed under the name Camelus bactrianus (Bactrian camel). It matches the Rfam family "tRNA". Rfam says of the family: Transfer RNA (tRNA) molecules are approximately 80 nucleotides in length. Their secondary structure includes four short double-helical elements and three loops (D, anti-codon, and T loops). Lineage: Eukaryota; Metazoa; Chordata; Mammalia; Artiodactyla; Camelidae. The record is from Rfam by way of RNAcentral. RNAcentral also lists the same sequence under 2 other names.
GAGGGUAUAGCUCAGUGGUAGAGCACGUGCUUGUCAUGUGGGAGGUCCUAGGUUCAAUCCCCAGUACCUCCA